This 424-nucleotide ribosomal RNA is filed under the name uncultured bacterium. Its description in RNAcentral is "bacterial SSU rRNA". It matches the Rfam family "Bacterial small subunit ribosomal RNA", at positions 558 to 981 of the family's 1533-position model. The record is from RNAcentral.
GCGUAAAGGGUGCGUAGGCGGCCUGUUAAGUAAGUGGUUAAAUUGUUGGGCUCAACCCAAUCCAGCCACUUAAACUGGCAGGCUAGAGUAUUGGAGAGGCAAGUGGAAUUCCAUGUGUAGCGGUAAAAUGCGUAGAUAUAUGGAGGAACACCAGUGGCGAAGGCGGCUUGCUAGCCAAAGACUGACGCUCAUGCACGAAAGCGUGGGGAGCAAAUAGGAUUAGAUACCCUGGUAGUCCACGCCGUAAACGAUGAGUGCUAAGUGUUGGAGGGUUUCCGCCCUUCAGUGCUGCAGUUAACGCAUUAAGCACUCCGCCUGGGGAGUACGACCGCAAGGUUGAAACUCAAAGGAAUUGACGGGGGCCCGCACAAGCGGUGGAGUAUGUGGUUUAAUUCGACGCAACGCGAAGAACCUUACCAGGUCU